This 465-nucleotide long non-coding RNA is filed under the name Cotesia glomerata. Its description in RNAcentral is "uncharacterized LOC123267159". Lineage: Eukaryota; Metazoa; Arthropoda; Insecta; Hymenoptera; Braconidae. The record is from RNAcentral.
AAAGUAUUCACUUUUUCAAUGAGAUAACCAUCUCAUACAACGGAGGGUCCUGCAAUUCCCUACUUAAUUUGAGCUCUUGAAAUAUUAUGUCUCGGUAUAAAUGCGGUUUUAAAAAUUUGUGGUUCCAAUUUUUCACUUUCUAAAUUGCAUUUUUUUGGAAAAAUUACGUAUUCACCGAGGACUUGGUUUACAUCCACACAAAUUACACUCUAAAGAUAUGUUAUGAAUCUGUGUAAGACUCAAUCAAAAGUAUUGUGGGUUCACUUCGAAAAAACUCUAGUUCUAUUUUGAGGAUACUUUUGAUUCACUCUAAAGAAUUUUCGUGCUUAUUCUGAUUAUUUAAUAGUUUCAUUCUAAAUUCACUCUGGAUUCAUUCUGAAUUCACUCUGGAUUCAUUCUGAAUUCACUCUGGAUUCAUUCUGAAUUCACUCUGGAUUCAUUCUGAAUUCACUCUGAUCUACUCUG